CGUCGACGUACGGUCGCGAGUCGCGAUCGCUCCGUGUUUUCGCGCUUUUUUUAUCCGUGUCGACGAGUAGGAUCGGAGAAUCCGGAAGUAGAUUCCGAGAAUCUAACGCCGGGCGAUCACUUCCGGUGCCGACAGUAAUCGGCCGAUCGCAAUUAAUACGUCUGUCGGCACCGGUCUAAUAAUCCUUCGUUCGCGUUUCGCCGGCUCCGGCGUUCGUCGAGAUAUCCGUCCGCAUCGCCGAUUAUACGCUCGUCCGGAUGCCAUCGCGAGUGACAUUCGGUUUUCGGGAUGUCCGGGGCUCCGAGAGACUCGUCACGACCGAUCAGCUCGCUUUUUCGAUUAUGAUAUUCGCAUAUCUCCGCUCAAUCUCAAGUAGUCAUUCUUCGCGUCGGCCAUAUUGCUGAUUCUCCGCAUCUUCGCGUCUCUCGCGCGGUGCAUGUCGGGAGUGCUCGGGAGUGUCGAAGGAUCGGCUGACAGUUCGCUUCCGCGUCUCUCCGUCACGAAUAUUAUUCGAACACCGAGGAGCACCGUGACGAAUUACUCGGACAAGGUGACUACGCUCUCGAUUACGAUACUCGCAUAACUUCGUAAUAUCCAGAGCUCUUCGGAAUUUCGUGUCGACCGAGCAUGCGUCGUGCAUCUCGACAAUACCGAAGAAUCUGACAGAUUCAAUCGAUCGCGAUCGAGGUGCUCUUGUGACAGUACGUAAACAAAGUCGCGUCUCGUUGGAGAAACAAUCGUGCACGCGUCUUUUCGCGAGUGUGAGUGAGUGUGAUCAAGAAACGUUCCGCUUUAAUGUGCGACUUUAAUCGGUCGCGAACGAACACGUUUCUUAAAGAGUGAGGACGAUGUCAUUGCGUAGCGCAAGAGAGGUUAGACGCGAAUACGCGUGUCUCCUGUCAGAUUUCCGCGAGUGUUAUAUAAGGACGAUCGCGUUUUACUGUGUGUGAUAUUCAGUCAAUUCCUUUUCUCGAUAUCAAUCACGUUCCAUCGAAUUCGUGACUGUCGGAAAAAUUUUGUUUAUGAAUACGCACGUUUAUCGCGAGUGCAAUCGAAAAGCAUGAACGCAUCGCGAGUGAAUUGAGAGGCGUCGAUAAACAUGGAGGGAUUGUUUUAAUGGAUUAAUCGAGAGCCCCGAAUGGAUUAAUAAUGGAUUACAUAAUGGAUUAAAAGCUGUUUCUUCGCAACGUUCCGGUGACGAUUUUAUUCUACGUUGAACAAGAAGACCGCGAGUGGAUGCGCCGACAUCGGCGGGAAUGCUGGCGAAAGGACAGGAGACGCGGAAACGUAAUAAAGCCGAUAUAGUCUAAGGACGGCGAGGACAGAUUGGGAAGUAACUGAACGACCGAAAGCGAAGUCGAAAGAGAAAUGGACAAGGGUGUGGACGACAGCGCGUGGGAGGACAGAGGCGGCAAAUUGAAGCUCGGGUACUUGCAAGAUUUUUACGCGUAUCUCAUGGAAAGGAGUGAAGGAUGAAAAGGGGGUUGCUGCGACUCACGGGCAAAGAGGUAUGAAA
This is a non-coding RNA of Nylanderia fulva, 1516 nucleotides long. Lineage: Eukaryota; Metazoa; Arthropoda; Insecta; Hymenoptera; Formicidae. The record is from RefSeq and is a predicted model, not a curated record.